RNAcentral lists this unclassified non-coding RNA (207 nucleotides) under rhizosphere metagenome. Its description in RNAcentral is "partial ribosomal RNA internal transcribed spacer region". The record is from RNAcentral.
GUUGGUGAACCAGCGGAGGGAUCAUUACCGAGUUCAGACUCCAAACCCUGCGAACCUACCUCGACGUUGCUUCGGCGGACGCCCCGGGAGGCCGCCUCUGGCGCCGCCCGGAACCAGGCGUCCGCCGGGGGCCCAAACUCUUGCCUUCUGUAUUCUCUGGGUACCACAAAUGAAUCAAAACUUUCAACAACGGAUCUCUUGGUUCUG